Heterocephalus glaber (naked mole-rat) is the source of this 173-nucleotide small nuclear RNA. Its record names the gene U2. It matches the Rfam family "U2 spliceosomal RNA". From Rfam's summary of the family: U2 is a small nuclear RNA (snRNA) component of the spliceosome (involved in pre-mRNA splicing). Complementary binding between U2 snRNA (in an area lying towards the 5' end but 3' to hairpin I) and the branchpoint sequence (BPS) of the intron results the bulging out of an unpaired adenosine, on the BPS, which initiates a nucleophilic attack at the intronic 5' splice site, thus starting the first of two transesterification reactions that mediate splicing. Lineage: Eukaryota; Metazoa; Chordata; Mammalia; Rodentia; Bathyergidae. The record is from Ensembl.
AUUGCUUCUCAGCCUUUUGGCUAAGAUCAAGUGCAUUAUUUUGUUACAUUAGCUUUGUAUAUGCUCUGCUCUAAAAAAAAUUAGAAAAAUAAAAUCUUAAGAUCAUUUUUACCUGUCCAAGUUCUUCAUUCAGAUCGGAAGUAUUGACUUGAGCUUUCUGAUCUGAUUCCUCA